Molecule: long non-coding RNA, 576 nt
Organism: Miniopterus natalensis
Lineage: Eukaryota; Metazoa; Chordata; Mammalia; Chiroptera; Miniopteridae
Source: RefSeq, a predicted model, not a curated record
CGGAUCCUUGGGAUACAUUAAGAAAGGUGAGAAACUGGCCAUUUCUUCCUUUUAAUGCUUUUCCUUAGGAUGGGAUGGACUAGGAGAGCCCACGAAAUGACCCCAGCCACUCACCAUAGACAUCAUUUCAAGUACCAACUUCACCAACUUGAGUUUUUAAACUGGCCUUGAUUAGACUCCCGAUGGAUGUGACUUAUACAACAUAGCUAGGCUGUUGAAGUUUUUGCUGGAUAUUUUAAAAAUAUCCCCUUUCCUUCAUCAUAAAGAUACUUGUUCUCACAUAAAAUGAGCUGAAUUUUAUCAUUUGUAUAAAUCCAGCUAAAUUACUUCUAUAAAUAGCACAAUCUUCGUUAUUCAUCAUUGUCAGGAAAUGAGCUAUUUGGAUAAUAUGCUUCUAGGUGGCACCGCCAGUUUUCCUAACGGGUUGUUAUUGGUUGAAUUUUGACCCUCCUCCUCCAGCUUCAUAUGUUGAAGUCCUAAUCAUCAGUACCUCAGGCAGGGCCUUUACAGAGGUCAUCAAGCCAAAACGAGGUCAUUAAGGUGAGACAGACACGCACGCACAGAAUGCCAUAUGAA